UGAAACCCAGCCCGUACGCAGUUGCAGCGACCUAACCCCUUUCCCUGACCCCCAAGCGCGGUGGCGGCGGCCAGAUCCCUCAACCAAGUUAGCCAAGUACGCGGGGCGGAGGUGAUGUUCCACCUUUCCGAUGGCUCUUGCCAGUUGUGUCGCCAGCGGCUCUGUUUGAGGCCGAGCAGAUCUGAUCUCGUGGAGUAUUAAGAUCCGCGUCGCAGUAUGCUCAUCGUUGCCUCCCGAUCUCAGGCUCCGGCAGCGGCUGGUUAGUCGUUUCCUGUCAAUCUCAGUACCUAGGAUCAUCUCGCAUCCUCCUCCACCUCAUCGGCUGCAAGCCGGAGGUGGGCUCCUCGUCUCCUUCCCAACCGGCCUGUGUGACGUGGUGCAAACAUACAAGGCGUCACCACGGUGAUUAAUUCUUCUGGACAACAAGCUCGACGAACAAGAAGCACUGUAUCUGGAGGCAACUGUUGUGUGCCGUCAAGAUAGCACCGUUCAUGCAGUUCUUAAUGGCAAUGCUUGUUGAGCGAUGAUUAUUAUAGUCCUUCAGACUUACCCUUGCCCGUCAUGUACCAAAGUUGAUGCAGUUUUCGCUAGCAAUACUUGAUCCUGUGAUAUGAGUGUCUUUUGUGUUAUGCCUGGGAUGUUACAGUUUGACAUGUACUAAAAAAUGCGGCGCUGAUAGUCCAGUUUGACAUGCACUCAAGUAUUUGUUUCUGGAAUGGUUCAUUUUAACAUUUAUGCUA
Long non-coding RNA from Triticum dicoccoides, 740 nucleotides. RefSeq lists it as uncharacterized. Lineage: Eukaryota; Viridiplantae; Streptophyta; Magnoliopsida; Poales; Poaceae. The transcript is spliced from 2 exons. The record is from RefSeq and is a predicted model, not a curated record.